CCCUAGUAUAAAAAAUGAGAAUAAUUAGUAGUGUAAUGAAAUUUAAUAAUUUUGGCGGUUGAAUUUUAAUUAGAGGAGCUUGUUGAAUUAGUAAAGACUCUUUGAAUUUAAAGGUAAAUUGUUUAUUCAUCUCCGUUAUAAGAUAAGUAUUGGAAAAGUUUUUAAAAUAUAAUUUCAGGUCAAGAUGUAGCAUUUAUAAGUAAAAAUUAGCUACAGUAAUGAUAUUUUGGAUUUAAUUAGGGAGAAUUUAAAGAAAAUGAAUUUAGUUGUAAUAUAAUUUAGAAUAGCUAUAUGAAUUGAUAAAUUUUAUGU
This 312-nucleotide ribosomal RNA is filed under the name Barrona williamsi. RNAcentral's name for it is "partial 12S ribosomal RNA". Lineage: Eukaryota; Metazoa; Arthropoda; Arachnida; Opiliones; Manaosbiidae. The record is from RNAcentral.